AAUAAAAAGGAACGGACGUUUACCCGAAAUGAACAUCAAAUUUGCAUUUGAGACAGGUU
Molecule: non-coding RNA, 59 nt
Organism: Caenorhabditis elegans
Lineage: Eukaryota; Metazoa; Nematoda; Chromadorea; Rhabditida; Rhabditidae
Source: Ensembl